Long non-coding RNA from Gallus gallus (chicken), 326 nucleotides. The record is from Ensembl. Lineage: Eukaryota; Metazoa; Chordata; Aves; Galliformes; Phasianidae.
GACUCUGCGCCACGGGAGAGGGACCAUCUAUAAACAUGACUCAUUCUGACGAAAUGAAAGUAAUGAAGGGAGUGAAACAAAUUCAGAAAGACGUUAUUUUGUGCUACAGAGAUAAAGGUUUCAACUACCAACCUGUAAAAUUUGGAGUCACUGCCUGUAAAGGAUUUAUGAAUGGCCUCUGUUCCUGGCUCUACAGGCAAGUGGUGCUUUAGGGAACCAAGAAGCAGCCAAGCUGUAAAGGCAGAAAUGUGCUUCCUCUCUUUCUAAAGCAUGAAGAGGGAAGAAAACACCAACAUCAAGAAUGUUUAUGCUGGAGGCUUUGAAAG